Ornithorhynchus anatinus (platypus) is the source of this 138-nucleotide small nucleolar RNA. The record is from RefSeq and is a predicted model, not a curated record. NCBI's taxonomy places the organism in Eukaryota, Metazoa, Chordata, Mammalia, Monotremata, Ornithorhynchidae.
CACCUCUCAGGGUCGCUACUGGAGAGUUUCCAGUACUCUACCAGUAUCAAUUAUGGGAAGGAGAGUCAGGCAGAGGCCUACCCAUUCCAUUCUUAGCUUGGGCAGUGGCUAGCAAGUGUAAGGCAAUCUGCUAUAAGU